GACGAACGCUGGCGGCGUGCCUAACACAUGCAAGUCGAACGGAACUGUUUUGAAAGAUUUCUUCGGAAUGAAUUUGAUUUAGUUUAGUGGCGGACGGGUGAGUAACGCGUGAGUAACCUGCCUUCAAGAGGGGGAUAACAUUCUGAAAAGAAUGCUAAUACCGCAUGACAUAUCGGAACCACAUGGUUUUGAUAUCAAAGAUUUUAUCGCUUGAAGAUGGACUCGCGUCCGAUUAGUUAGUUGGUGAGGUAACGGCUCACCAAGACCGCGAUCGGUAGCCGGACUGAGAGGUUGAACGGCCACAUUGGGACUGAGACACGGCCCAGACUCCUACGGGAGGCAGCAGUGGGGGAUAUUGCGCAAUGGGGGCAACCCUGACGCAGCAACGCCGCGUGAAGGAUGAAGGUUUUCGGAUUGUAAACUUCUUUUAUUAAGGACGAAACUUGACGGUACUUAAUGAAUAAGCUCCGGCUAACUACGUGCCAGCAGCCGCGGUAAUACGUAGGGAGCAAGCGUUGUCCGGAUUUACUGGGUGUAAAGGGUGCGUAGGCGGCUUUGCAAGUCAGAUGUGAAAUCUAUGGGCUCAACCCAUAAACUGCAUUUGAAACUGUAGAGCUUGAGUGAAGUAGAGGCAGGCGGAAUUCCCCGUGUAGCGGUGAAAUGCGUAGAGAUGGGGAGGAACACCAGUGGCGAAGGCGGCCUGCUGGGCUUUAACUGACGCUGAGGCACGAAAGCGUGGGUAGCAAACAGGAUUAGAUACCCUGGUAGUCCACGCUGUAAAC
This 782-nucleotide ribosomal RNA is filed under the name uncultured bacterium. RNAcentral's name for it is "bacterial SSU rRNA". It matches the Rfam family "Bacterial small subunit ribosomal RNA", at positions 28 to 807 of the family's 1533-position model. The record is from RNAcentral.